GUUGUGGUGUGUUGGGAGACAGAGAGGUGUUGGGAGACAGAGAGAGAUGUUGUGUUGUGUUGGGAGAAAGAGAGAGGUGUUGUGGUGUGUUGGGAGAAAGAGAGAGGUGUUGUGGUGUGUUGGGAGACGGAUAGAGGUGUUGUGGUGUGUUGGGAGAAAGAGAGAGGUGUUGUGGUGUGUUGGGAGACGGAUAGAGGUGUUGUGGUGUGUUGGGAGAAAGAGAGAGGUGUUGUGGUGUGUUG
Molecule: long non-coding RNA, 242 nt
Filed under: Salmo salar (Atlantic salmon)
Lineage: Eukaryota; Metazoa; Chordata; Actinopteri; Salmoniformes; Salmonidae
Description: lncRNA (ENSSSAG00000103776.1, ENSSSAG00000106321.1)
Source: RNAcentral